AUAUGUGAGAAUGGGCACAGUUGAUCGUGGUGUCCAGAAUUGAUAAAUGUGGCUAAAUUGAGACACAGAUUAUGCUUCCACCAGAGUAAAUUCAUUGCAGUAGUGACAAUGAGAACUGUAAUUUUU
RNAcentral lists this small nucleolar RNA (126 nucleotides) under Dasypus novemcinctus (nine-banded armadillo). RNAcentral describes it as "Small nucleolar RNA SNORA1 (ENSDNOG00000026064.1)". It matches the Rfam family "Small nucleolar RNA SNORA1". From Rfam's summary of the family: ACA1 is a member of the H/ACA class of snoRNA that guide the sites of modification of uridines to pseudouridines. The record is from RNAcentral. Lineage: Eukaryota; Metazoa; Chordata; Mammalia; Cingulata; Dasypodidae.